CCGGCUGGUCUUCCCACCCGCCUGGCGCUGGGCCCCCUGCCCCCCACCUGAGGCGGCGAUCCCUCUGCCCUCCCUCCUCUGCUCCCCGCCUGUCAGCUUAAUUGAACAAGGAUGCGGGAGAGGUUUGAUUUAAUCAAGCCGGUCGCUGUAUCCAUUCUGCUCUGAGGUCCCCGGGUGUCACCACCGAGGCUCAGAUUAGACGGUGACAAUUACUUUUUCUUCCCUGGCUGUUGCCUCCCCUCCCCUCCUGUCCCAGGAGGGACCUGGGAGGCAGGCCAGGCUCCUGGGACCGAAGAACGAUGCGCAGGAUCAAAGGAGGGACUCGUCUGGCCGGAGAAAGCCCCUGUCUGCCUUACACCGCCUUGUUUGGAGCGGAGAGGCAGCCGAGGGGUGGGGGAGAGAACAUGUGAGCGGCGCUGCCUCCCAGCGGCUCGAGGCGCCUGAGGACAGAGCUGAGCAGCAUCUGUGCCAUCGUCGAUGGCCCCGGAGAUAAACCCAGUUCGCCUCAUUGUCAGGUGCUCUGCCUGGAUUCUGGGGUCCGGAGCUGGGAAACAGCAACAAAAACAGGGCCAGGUUAUUUAUUAUGCCGCCCGGACGGGAAUGAAUGGGGCCCCUUCUCACACGGAGAAGAGCAAACGUGACGCCUUCCUCCCUGAAGACGGAGGCUGUGAUAUUAAAGGGGGCAAUUAAUCACCGCGGGCCUGGGCGGAGCGGCGUCCCGCUGGAGAGAGGGAGGAUGGUCUGGCAGGAGAGCUGGGUCUUCGGCAGCGACGGGUUUGAGUUCUGCAGACCGCUCCUGUGGGC
This is a long non-coding RNA of Eptesicus fuscus (big brown bat), 804 nucleotides long. RefSeq lists it as uncharacterized. The record is from RefSeq and is a predicted model, not a curated record. The transcript has 4 exons. Lineage: Eukaryota; Metazoa; Chordata; Mammalia; Chiroptera; Vespertilionidae.